CCUAUGUACAGGUCCCUGCUUGGUGUCCAUUAUCAUGGUGCAGCAGCCCACCCCCAGUUCACAAAGUUACAGCUCCAAUGUACUGGGCAGCCUUCAUGGGGAAGCUAUGCAAAGGAAUGCUCUUCAAUGCCUCCGUAAAAGGGAAGGGAUCUGUGUAUGGUGUUUACUUCUAGCACAACAAAUCUGGUGGUGACUUCCUGGCACCAAACCAGUCCGCCACUGGAAAUCAGGGCAGAACAAGCUCAAGGGGCAAUGGCCAUUGCUAUCUUCUCGCUCCUCCUCUUGGACACCCUUUGGACUUCCCUGGACACCCUCAGUCGGUGUUUGCUCACUACUGAGAUCAAUAACUCUACAAUAACACUCUUUUCUCCUAAAAUUUCAAAAGAAUUCAUCAGAAUGUAGAUAGGCUUGUCCCCUAUUAAAGUCCUGAAGUGCAAAGCUGCCUGGGGCAGAAUCCCAGUCCAGAGCUGUGACCUCCAGAGCACACAGAAGAAUGAAGUCUCACUUUCAAUAAUGAGAAUUUUGCACCCAAGCUGCAAUAACAGACGGAUGUUAUUUCUUUUAUAGCUUACAAACGUCACCACAGUGCAAACUCAUUACAUACCCCAACAGAAGCACAUUGCUCUUUAUAGAAACUGUUGGGAGAUAAAAGUUUCAGCGCAGAAUUUAUUGUUUAUGAAGCCCACUCAUUUACUGCGCAAUGCAGUUUUAUCAGUAACUAUUUUCAGAGCCUAAGAAAGAAAGAAAUUCAAUAAAUUCAAGAGGCUGUUAAUAGUGUGAGGAGAAGGCAGCUCUUCAUUGUGUGACUGAGUCUCAUUGUCUAAUUGUCCCAGGAAAUUUAAAGCAGAAUGUGUUUUUGACAGCUUCGUUAAUGUGACUUUUUUUUUUCCCCUGCCAGAAAUUCAAGCAUAAUUGAGACAUAGUGUUGAACUUCAAAUGUUUCCCCGAGACCUGAAUGGUGAACUUGAUGAAGCAUGUAAUAUGGCAUAACCUCCCAAUUAUUCACACAUUUAGAUAACUAUAAUCACACAAUUCCUAUCGUGGCAAAAAGGUUAUUGUAGGCAGAUAUUGGCAGGGGCUAAUGGACAGCAUAUUGCAAGGGCAAGGAGGGUUUGGAAGGAAGCAUUAAUCAGAAUUUGGUAGUAAAGUCAUUAUUCACAGCUUAACAAAGCUGUCACUCUCUGCUGCAGUCCCAGGACCUCUAUCAACUCAUCAUUCAACUCAGCAAUCCCAAAGAACAGAAUGUAUCAAAGAAGAGAUGUGUUGUGUAAGUGUGACUGCCCCCAGGAUGCCCAGCCUUUCGCAGCAGGGUUUCCCUAGCAAGAGAAAUCAUCACCAGAAUUUGUAGUAAUCAAGGCAUGUAGUUUUCAGUGAAAUGCCAUCACUUUGCUGUAUGACAAUCUGACACUCUUGCUCUGGGUUUGAGAAAUGCAGCUGCAUUCUUCUGCUGGACGUUGUUCCGGCUUUUCUAGCUGCUUGCAGAGGCACUCAUGGCAAUUGUGAUGAGUAAAGAGAAGAGAACUGCAGGAGAGAGGGACAGCCAGCAGAUGAGGCAACGUGGUUAUUCUCCUUGGGCUCCUAUUCUCCGUGGGCACUUAUUACAUCCUGGCUGGGAUGCAGUGUCCCCAGUGAACAUGAAAUCUGGAUAACCUGGACUGGCUUCAGCAGAGGGCCACCAAGAUGAGCAGAAGCACAUCCUGUGGGGAGCUGUGGAGGAGGGAUCAAGUCUUGUUCAGCCUGGAAAGCAGAAGUUCAUGAGGGACAGACAUGGACAUACCGGAAAGAGUCCAACAGAGGGAUGUCAAGAUGAUGAAUGGACUGGAUGGAGUGGCUUCUUAUGAGACAGUCUUCCUCCUUGGAGAUCUCCAGAAGCAGUUGGGACAUGGGCCUGGGCAGCAGCAGCUCGGACUGAAGUAUCCAGUGUGAGCAAAGUGGCACGUACUCCAGGACUAUGACAGAGAGGAGAAAGACCUCUGUUUUGGUAACUCCACCAGGAUGAGCUCUCCUGCGCUGCACACAGUGCAGCCAACCCAGGCAGUCUGUGCUCUUGCUCCAUGACACCUCUGACCUCCAUGGAUUUUCCUUUUUUUUAAUAAUUUUCAUCACAUACAAUCUACAAGAAGCGAGCCAUGGUUGCAGACUCUCACUCAACCAAUGGACACAAACCAUCUCCCCCAUGGAAAGAAACUAAACCUGGGCAGAAGGCUGCACAGCAAGCUCGGUGCAAAGCAAGUCUGCUUGCAAAGGCAUUUUGGUGAUGCCACCUCAAUUGCCGCAAAUGAACAGUAGACUCUAUUGCCUAAUGUGUACACUUGGAAACCAUGCUCACAUCUACUUCCUCUUAAGACUUGCUUGGGGCCAAAAUAUUCCACCUCCCCAGGUUUUUGGUUUCAUGCUUUGCAGGCGGUGGCUCUGGAAAUCUGUUUUGCUCAACUGGUGGUAUGCUGCAAAUGCAUCCCAUCCAACCCACAGCACAAGCCUUGACUGCUCACCGCUGCUUGGUGAUAUAUCCCAGAGAAGUCAGGUGAAUGGUUCCCAGUCUGUUAUUGCUUCGGGGCUCGUGAUGAUGUAUAACAUUACAUGGAACUGUUUAUUUAAACAGAGAGAGUCCCAUCAGGGUCACAACCUGAUGUGUCAUUUCCCACCCACCUGAUGGGACUAUGGGGAGAUGUUUGGGCUGCCUUCAUACCCAGUAUGGUAGGCAGGAGGAAAAGCCAAUCUGGGGGUACUUCUUUAGAAAGAGCAAAGUCAAGCUAUACUUCUUACAACAGGCCCAUCUUGGGAAAAUGACUGCUGAUAGAAUAUGUUGCAGAUCAAGGCAUUCAGAAAGAGAAAGUGCAUGCAAAAAUCUUUUAAAAGCCUCUCAAAACCUGCCAUAAAAAGCCCUUGGCAGCUUUCUAACCAAUGCAGACUGAUCUAGCACCUUGGAGUUACAAAUACAAGCUGCUCUACCCUGAAGGAGGGUCUGCUCCAUCUCCUGGCCCCAGCACUAAGUGAUGACUUUGUGGAUGACAUGGGAUAGUCUUGUUAGCAGAGGUUGCAUUGCUGGCUCAGGUAAUUGGGGACAACCCUCUGCUUGGUGUGUGUGUCUGCAUUUAACAAGCAAAGAAGGCAUAGAUUUCUUUAAAGAUAUCCAACCUGAGUACACCACAGCUGGGAAGCACAUACAAGCAAUAGCUUUCACAUGCGAACAAAUAAAAGAUCCUUGCAAAACAGAUGCUGAGGUUUGCGGGGCUGGCACAGGCUCGCUGCUGGCAGGGAGUUAACUCACAGAAAACUGAAAGGUUUGGAGAUGGAAGAGUAUCUGGAGACCGUUUGUUCAUAAACACAGCUGAAGGCCAGCAACCUGCUUUCUGCCCUGCCCGAGCUGCACUGCUGGAGUCAUUCCUUGCAGGGUUCCUACAACGGGGAAGGCAGAUAUGCAAUUCUUCUGCAGCCCACGCUCUAGAGAAAUAAUUAAACAGUUUUUCUUAA
Gallus gallus (chicken) is the source of this 3474-nucleotide long non-coding RNA. RefSeq lists it as uncharacterized. NCBI's taxonomy places the organism in Eukaryota, Metazoa, Chordata, Aves, Galliformes, Phasianidae. The record is from RefSeq and is a predicted model, not a curated record. The transcript has 3 exons.